UCAAUCUUGCUCACAAGGUAUUCGAUAAAAUGCUAUUAGCAUAGAAUUAUCGUCGUUAUUACCGUUUCGUCAAAUGCAAAGUCUUGGACGCCCUCCAAAUGGGAAAAACGACUUCCUUCCAUUGGUUGCUUUUAGAGGACCCUCAGAAAAUCUUUAUGGAUUGAACACAUUAGCAUCAUCACCCCAUAGCUUUGUGUCACGGUGAACUAAAAGUGCCGGCAAGAAAAAUUGCACUCCAGCAGGCAAUGUUAGGUCUCCAACUUUUACAUAUUUUUGAACUUCUCGAGGAAGUGCAACUAUUGGCGGGUAUAACAACCAAGUUGUUGUUUCUGCUGGAGUAUUUCGUGUUUCUACCGGCUUUAGUUUUUGGGUUUGUUUUGGUGGGGUGCAGAGCACACUUGUUCAUUUAUGUACAGAGUGAUCUGCCAUUUUGGUGUACAGAAAAACAAAACUACUUGCUGAUGCAAUUUUUUGUAGCAAAGAAAUGAAAUGAGAAUUAGAAUUGAAAAUUGAGGAAAAAUUAGGAGAUGGGGAGUUAAGUGACAUUGAGAAACUAGCCAAGCAAUUCUCUAACAAGUGGCGGCAACUUGACAUCUUGAAGCGUUGAUUACAAAUACCGACUCUUCCUCCAUGGUAUUAGAGUCUCAUCAAGCAUACAAAGUUGACGCGUCUGAAACUGCCAAGGCUGUGAUAUCUUGCUUCAAUAAGUUGGGGGGUCUCUUUCGAUAUGGAUCAG
Long non-coding RNA from Vicia villosa (hairy vetch), 736 nucleotides. RefSeq lists it as uncharacterized. Lineage: Eukaryota; Viridiplantae; Streptophyta; Magnoliopsida; Fabales; Fabaceae. The record is from RefSeq and is a predicted model, not a curated record. The transcript has 3 exons.